Molecule: ribosomal RNA, 497 nt
Filed under: uncultured bacterium
Lineage: Bacteria
Description: partial 16S ribosomal RNA
Rfam family: Bacterial small subunit ribosomal RNA
Source: RNAcentral
GAUGAACGCUGGCGGCGUGCCUAAUACAUGCAAGUCGAGCGAACGGACGAGAAGCUUGCUUCUCUGAUGUUAGCGGCGGACGGGUGAGUAACACGUGGAUAACCUACCUAUAAGACUGGGAUAACUUCGGGAAACCGGAGCUAGUACCGGAUAAUAUUUUGAACCGCAUGGUUCAUAAGUGAAAGACGGUCUUGCUGUCACUUAUAGAUGGAUCCGCGCUGCAUUAGCUAGUUGGUAAGGUAACGGCUUACCAAGGCAACGAUGCAUAGCCGACCUGAGAGGGUGAUCGGCCACACUGGAACUGAGACACGGUCCAGACUCCUACGGGAGGCAGCAGUAGGGAAUCUGCCGCAAUGGGCGAAAGCCUGACGGAGCAACGCCGCGUGAGUGAUGAAGGUCUUCGGAUCGUAAAACUCUGUUAUUAGGGAAGAACAUAUGUGUAAGUAACUGUGCACAUCUUGACGGUACCUAAUCAGAAAGCCACGGCUAACUACGUG